GGGGUUGUAGCCCAAUUGGCAGAGGCACAUGACUUAGGAUCAUGCCAGCGCGGGUUCGAGUCCCGCCAACCCCA
RNAcentral lists this transfer RNA (74 nucleotides) under Herbidospora galbida. It matches the Rfam family "tRNA". From Rfam's summary of the family: Transfer RNA (tRNA) molecules are approximately 80 nucleotides in length. Their secondary structure includes four short double-helical elements and three loops (D, anti-codon, and T loops). Further hydrogen bonds mediate the characteristic L-shaped molecular structure. tRNAs have two regions of fundamental functional importance: the anti-codon, which is responsible for specific mRNA codon recognition, and the 3' end, to which the tRNAs corresponding amino acid is attached (by aminoacyl-tRNA synthetases). tRNAs cope with the degeneracy of the genetic code in two manners: having more than one tRNA (with a specific anti-codon) for a particular amino acid; and 'wobble' base-pairing, i.e. permitting non-standard base-pairing at the 3rd anti-codon position. Lineage: Bacteria; Bacillati; Actinomycetota; Actinomycetes; Streptosporangiales; Streptosporangiaceae. The record is from Rfam by way of RNAcentral. RNAcentral also lists the same sequence under 1 other name.